CCUACGGGAGGCAGCAGUGAGGAAUAUUGGUCAAUGGAGGCAAAUCUGAACCAGCCAUGCGGGGUGCAGGAAGACGGUUGUAUGGAUUGUAAAUUGCUUUUGUACAGGAAGAAAUUAUCCAUCGUGAGGGAGGAUGACAGUACGUAAGAAUAAGGAUCGGCUAACUCCGUGCCAGCAGCCGCGGUAAU
RNAcentral lists this ribosomal RNA (188 nucleotides) under uncultured bacterium. Its description in RNAcentral is "partial 16S ribosomal RNA". It matches the Rfam family "Bacterial small subunit ribosomal RNA", at positions 338 to 524 of the family's 1533-position model. The record is from RNAcentral.